GUCCCUCAUAAUGUUAAUUAAGUCCAUUAAUAUCAGUGUAGAGUGUAUAAAAGUGGAAUCAAUAGAGGACAAAUGCAUCUAAAUAUGAGGCGGCUGAUAACAACGAGACCGCCGGAGAGAACGCACAGCCUGCGGUAGUCCAGCAGAGGUUUGGAGAUGGACAGAUAAAUCACUUCAAACCUGACUCAUCCCCCGUACAGACUGCAGAGCAAACAUUCUGGCUUAUUAAAAGGAAUUCGACUCAUCGUUGA
Molecule: long non-coding RNA, 251 nt
Filed under: Takifugu rubripes (torafugu)
Lineage: Eukaryota; Metazoa; Chordata; Actinopteri; Tetraodontiformes; Tetraodontidae
Description: lncRNA (ENSTRUG00000027354.1)
Source: RNAcentral